AGUUCGCAGUAGCUCCUGCGAGAUCUAGUGCGAUUACAGCGAGACUGUUAAUAGAUACCGGUAUUAGAAUUGGAAAAUGGGAGGAGUUGACAAUGCCCAUCUUGCAAGAUAUGAGCAGAAAGAUCAUCCGAGGCCAACUUUGAAACAAUGUUUGUUUGCCCUCGCCCAACUCACAAUGAAAAUAUUGGGUCGAUAGGAAGAAUCUCCCAACUUCAUAUAAAGUUCAUUUUGGAACCAUACAAUAAACAGUCAACACAAUAUCCUAAAUAUGCCCUGAAAAAAAU
Molecule: long non-coding RNA, 284 nt
Organism: Saccostrea echinata
Lineage: Eukaryota; Metazoa; Mollusca; Bivalvia; Ostreida; Ostreidae
Exons: 3
Source: RefSeq, a predicted model, not a curated record